AAGGAAUGCUGAGAUGAAAAAGUUUAAGCAGUUUGCUAAUAUGUAUUUCCCCCUCUUGUGUCUGUGGUUAGGUUUGCUUCAAAACAGGAUUAGACAUCAUCCAGACAGUACAGACCAUCAGAGGAUUCUCAAAGAUCCAAAAAAUAGAGCUGGAGAUAGAGCUCGCUGGAUCCUCACUGAUAAUUCACUGGGAGAAAGAUUUCCAAGACAUCAACAAGCAAUCAAGUACACAAAGAAACUGAAUCUGAUCCCGCGACCUGUACAGACACAUACUCUUCAUCAUGAUGACUCUGGAUUUACAUCAUACUCUGCCACGGAUGUCAGUAUGGACAAUACCUUUGAAUACCAGGUAGGAAAUCUUUACUACAUGCACACAUAGUUUUAGCCUUUUUUUUAAACAGUUUUUUAAACCCAAGUCUAUCUGGUGUUUUAAUGUAAAAAUCUUAACAUUGGUUGUAACAUUUCACAGUGUCUUGUUAAAAUAAUCCCUCUACUUUCUGUUUUGCAUG
Molecule: long non-coding RNA, 509 nt
Organism: Haplochromis burtoni (Burton's mouthbrooder)
Lineage: Eukaryota; Metazoa; Chordata; Actinopteri; Cichliformes; Cichlidae
Exons: 3
Source: RefSeq, a predicted model, not a curated record